Molecule: ribosomal RNA, 505 nt
Filed under: uncultured bacterium
Lineage: Bacteria
Description: bacterial SSU rRNA
Rfam family: Bacterial small subunit ribosomal RNA
Source: RNAcentral
AGAGUUUGAUCAUGGCUCAGAUUGAACGCUGGCGGAAUGCUUUACACAUGCAAGUCGAGCGGCAGCGCGGGGGCAACCCUGGCGGCGAGCGGCGAACGGGUGAGUAACAUAUCGGAACGUACCCCGUCGUGGGGGGAUAACACAGCGAAAGCUGUGCUAAUACCGCAUACGACCUGAGGGUGAAAGCGGGGGAUCGCAAGACCUCGCGCGAUGGGAGCGGCCGAUAUCGGAUUAGCUUGUUGGUGAGGUAAAGGCUCACCAAGGCGACGAUCCGUAGCUGGUCUGAGAGGACGACCAGCCACACUGGAACUGAGACACGGUCCAGACUCCUACGGGAGGCAGCAGUGGGGAAUUUUGGACAAUGGGGGCAACCCUGAUCCAGCCAUUCCGCGUGAGUGAAGAAGGCCUUCGGGUUGUAAAGCUCUUUCAGCAGGAACGAAACGGUGGCCACUAAUACUGGCUACUAAUGACGGUACCUGAAGAAGAAGCACCGGCUAACUACGUG